Molecule: ribosomal RNA, 457 nt
Filed under: uncultured bacterium
Lineage: Bacteria
Description: bacterial SSU rRNA
Rfam family: Bacterial small subunit ribosomal RNA
Source: RNAcentral
UACGGAAGGCAGCAGUGGGGAAUAUUGCACAAUGGGCGAAAGCCUGAUGCAGCUAUGCCGCGUGUAUGAAGAAGGCCUUAGGGUUGUAAAGUACUUUCAUCGGGGAGGAAAAAACAAAACUAAUAAUUUUAUUUCUUGACGUUACCCGAAAAAGAAGCACCGGCUAACUCCGUGCCAGCAGCCGCGGUAAUACGGAGGGUGCUAGCGUUAAUCAGAAUUACUGGGCGUAAAGAGCACGUAGGUGGUUUUUUUAAAGUCAGAUGUGAAAUCCCUGGGCUUAACCUGGAACUGCAUUUUGAAACUGAAAUACUAGAGUAUCGUAGAGGGAGGUAGAAUUCUAGGUGUAGCGGUGAAAUGCGUAGAUAUCUGGAGGAAUACCUGUGGCGAAAGCGGCCUCCUAAACGAAUACUGACACUGAGGUGCGAAAGCGUGGGGAGCAAACAGGGAUUAGACUACC